CACGUAGGGGGCAAGCGUUGUCCGGAUUUAUUGGGCGUAAAGAGCUCGUAGGCGGUUUGUCGCGUCUGCCGUGAAAGUCCGGGGCUCAACUCCGGAUCUGCGGUGGGGUACGGGCAGACUAGAGUGAUGUAGGGGGAGACUGGAAUUCCUGGUGUAGCGGGUGAAAUGCGCAGAUAUCAGGAGGAACACCGGUGGCGAAGGCGGGUCUCUGGGGCCGAUACUGACGCUGAGGAGCGAAAGCGUGGGGAGCAAACAGG
RNAcentral lists this ribosomal RNA (257 nucleotides) under uncultured bacterium. Its description in RNAcentral is "partial 16S ribosomal RNA". It matches the Rfam family "Bacterial small subunit ribosomal RNA", at positions 524 to 776 of the family's 1533-position model. The record is from RNAcentral.